This 253-nucleotide ribosomal RNA is filed under the name uncultured bacterium. RNAcentral describes it as "partial 16S ribosomal RNA". It matches the Rfam family "Bacterial small subunit ribosomal RNA", at positions 524 to 776 of the family's 1533-position model. The record is from RNAcentral.
GACGGACCGUACGAACGUUAUUCGGAAUCACUGGGCUUAAAGGGUGCGUAGGCGGCGCAGAAAGUUGGGUGUGAAAUCCCUCGGCUUAACCGAGGAAUUGCGCCCAAAACUACUGUGCUCGAGGGAGGUAGAGGUGAGCGGAACUUAGGGUGGAGCGGUGAAAUGCGUUGAUAUCCUAAGGAACACCGGUGGCGAAAGCGGCUCACUGGACCUCUUCUGACGCUGAGGCACGAAAGCUAGGGUAGCAAACGGG